This 28-nucleotide small RNA is filed under the name Bombyx mori (domestic silkworm). Its description in RNAcentral is "piRNA piR-bmo-1505214". Lineage: Eukaryota; Metazoa; Arthropoda; Insecta; Lepidoptera; Bombycidae. The record is from RNAcentral.
UCCUCGGCUUGGCGCCUCUUCGGGCUAC